This 497-nucleotide ribosomal RNA is filed under the name uncultured bacterium. RNAcentral's name for it is "partial 16S ribosomal RNA". It matches the Rfam family "Bacterial small subunit ribosomal RNA", at positions 28 to 507 of the family's 1533-position model. The record is from RNAcentral.
GAUGAACGCUGGCGGCGUGCCUAAUACAUGCAAGUCGAGCGAUCAGACGAGUUCCUUGCUCCUCUGACGUUAGCGGCGUACGUGUCAGUAACAUGUGCUUACCCUACCUAUAAGACUGGGCUAACUUCGUGAUACUGGUGCUAAUUCUGUAUAAUAUCUUCAUCCGCAUGGUUCAAUAGUUCAAGACGGUUUUGCUGUACUUUCUACCUGUCUCCGCGCGGCAUUAGCUAGUUGGUAGGGUAACGGCUUACCAAGGCGGCCAUGCGUAGCCGACCUGAGAGGGGGAACGGGCACAGUGGAAGUGAGACACGGUCCAGACUCCUAGGGGAGGCAGAAGUAGGGAAGCGUCGGAAAUGGGCGGAAGCCUGACGGAGCAACGCCGCGUGAGUGAUGAAGGGCUUCGGAUCGUAAAACGCUGUUAGUAGGGAAGAACAAAUGUGGAAGUAACUAUGCACGUCGUGACGGUACCUAAACAGAAAGCAACGGCUAACUACGUG